Molecule: transfer RNA, 71 nt
Filed under: Mycolicibacterium fortuitum
Lineage: Bacteria; Bacillati; Actinomycetota; Actinomycetes; Mycobacteriales; Mycobacteriaceae
Description: tRNA-Glu
Rfam family: tRNA
About the family: Transfer RNA (tRNA) molecules are approximately 80 nucleotides in length. Their secondary structure includes four short double-helical elements and three loops (D, anti-codon, and T loops).
Source: RNAcentral
GGUCCGUUGGUGUAACGGCAGCACAUCUGGUUCUCGACCAGACAGCAGGAGUUCGACUCUCCUACGGACUA